GAGCAGAUGAUGAGCUGAUUCAACUGUAAAUUGCUGAUUGGCGAUUCCAUGAAGCUAUUACAAAUCGAGCUUUUUAAAACUGAUGCUCA
This is a small nucleolar RNA of Prosopis cineraria, 89 nucleotides long. NCBI's taxonomy places the organism in Eukaryota, Viridiplantae, Streptophyta, Magnoliopsida, Fabales, Fabaceae. The record is from RefSeq and is a predicted model, not a curated record.